Molecule: ribosomal RNA, 370 nt
Filed under: uncultured Thermus sp.
Lineage: Bacteria; Thermotogati; Deinococcota; Deinococci; Thermales; Thermaceae
Description: bacterial SSU rRNA
Rfam family: Bacterial small subunit ribosomal RNA
Source: RNAcentral
GCCCCGCGAGGGGAGCCCUAGCACAGGUGCUGCAUGGCCGUCGUCAGCUCGUGCCGUGAGGUGUUGGGUUAAGUCCCGCAACGAGCGCAACCCCCGCCGUUAGUUGCCAGCGGUUCGGCCGGGCACUCUAACGGGACUGCCCGCGAAAGCGGGAGGAAGGAGGGGACGACGUCUGGUCAGCAUGGCCCUUACGGCCUGGGCGACACACGUGCUACAAUGCCCACUACAAAGCGAUGCCACCCGGCAACGGGGAGCUAAUCGCAAAAAGGUGGGCCCAGUUCGGAUUGGGGUCUGCAACCCGACCCCAUGAAGCCGGAAUCGCUAGUAAUCGCGGAUCAGCCAUGCCGCGGUGAAUACGUUCCCGGGCCUU